This 587-nucleotide ribosomal RNA is filed under the name uncultured bacterium. RNAcentral describes it as "partial 16S ribosomal RNA". It matches the Rfam family "Bacterial small subunit ribosomal RNA", at positions 355 to 937 of the family's 1533-position model. The record is from RNAcentral.
UGGGGAAUAUUGGACAAUGGGCGCAAGCCUGAUCCAGCAAUGCCGCGUGUGUGAAGAAGGCCUUCGGGUUGUAAAGCACUUUUAUCAGGAGCGAAACGCUGUCGGCUAAUACCCGGCGGAACUGACGGUACCUGAGGAAUAAGCACCGGCUAACUUCGUGCCAGCAGCCGCGGUAAUACGAAGGGUGCAAGCGUUAAUCGGAAUUACUGGGCGUAAAGCGUGCGUAGGCGGUUUCUUAAGUCUGCUGUGAAAUCCCCGGGCUCAACCUGGGAAUGGCAGUGGAUACUGGGAGGCUAGAGUGUGUCAGAGGGUGGUGGAAUUCCCGGUGUAGCGGUGAAAUGCGUAGAGAUCGGGAGGAACAUCAGUGGCGAAGGCGGCCACCUGGGACAACACUGACGCUGAGGCACGAAAGCGUGGGGAGCAAACAGGAUUAGAUACCCUGGUAGUCCACGCCCUAAAACGAUGCGAACUGGAUGUUGGUCUCAACUCGGAGAUCAGUGUCGAAGCUAACGCGUUAAGUUCGCCGCCUGGGGAGUACGGUCGCAAGACUGAAACUCAAAGGAAUUGACGGGGUCAUAGCUGUUUCC